RNAcentral lists this ribosomal RNA (297 nucleotides) under Adalaria slavi. RNAcentral's name for it is "partial 28S ribosomal RNA". It matches the Rfam family "Eukaryotic large subunit ribosomal RNA", at positions 76 to 365 of the family's 3401-position model. The record is from RNAcentral. Lineage: Eukaryota; Metazoa; Mollusca; Gastropoda; Nudibranchia; Onchidorididae.
UCCCUCAGUAACGGCGAGUGAAGCGGGAUUAGCCCAGCACUGAAUCCCCCGGUCGGUCGGCCGGCGGGAACUGUAGUGUGCGGGACGCCACCAGCCGCGUGGGCUGGCACCGAAGUCCUCCUGAUCGAGGCCUCUCCCACGGUGGGUGUAAGGCCUUUGCAGGUGCCGGCGUGCGUGGCCGCGAGCGUCCCAGGAGUCGAGUUGUUUGGGAAUGCAGCUCAAAGCGGGUGGUAAACUCCAUCUAAGGCUAAAUACUGGCGCGAGUCCGAUAGCGGACAAGUACCGUGAGGGAAGGUU